GAUGAACGCUAGCGGCAGGCUUAAUACAUGCAAGUCGAGGGGCAACAGGGGGUAGCAAUACCUGCUGGCGACCGGCAAACGGGUGCGGAACACGUACAGAACCUUCCUUUAAGCGGGGGAUAGCCCAUAGAAAUGUGGAUUAAUACCCCAUAGAAUUAUGGUGUGGCAUCACACAAGUAAUUAAAGAUUUAUCACUUAGAGAUGGCUGUGCGUCUGAUUAGGUAGNGGUUGAGGUAAUGGCUCACCAAGCCUUCGAUCAGUAACUGGUGUGAGAGCACGACCAGUCACACGGGGCACUGAGACACCGGGCCCGACUCCUACGGGAGGCAGCAGUAAGGAAUAUUGGUCAAUGGACGCAAGUCUGAACCAGCCAUGCCGCGUGAAGGAUGAAGGUCCUCUGGA
Molecule: ribosomal RNA, 402 nt
Filed under: uncultured bacterium
Lineage: Bacteria
Description: bacterial SSU rRNA
Rfam family: Bacterial small subunit ribosomal RNA
Source: RNAcentral